UUGGGGAUAUUGCACAAUGGGCGAAAGCCUGAUGCAGCAACGCCGCGUGAGGGAAGACGGUUUUCGGAUUGUAAACCUCUGUCUUCGGUGAAGAAACAAAUGACGGUAGCCGAGGAGGAAGCCACGGCUAACUACGUGCCAGCAGACGCGGUAAUACGUAGGUGGCCAGCGUUGUCCGGAAUUACUGGGUGUAAAGGGAGCGCAGGCGGGGAGACAAGUCAGCUGUGAAAACUAUGGGCUUAACCCAUAAACUGCAGUUGAAACUGUUUUUCGUGAGUGGAGUAGAGGUAGGCGGAAUUCCGAGUGUAGCGGUGAAAUGCGUAGAUAUUCGGAGGAACACCAGUGGCGAAGGCGGCCUACUGGGCUCUAACUGACGCUGAGGCUCGAAAGUGUGGGGAGCAAACA
RNAcentral lists this ribosomal RNA (405 nucleotides) under uncultured prokaryote. RNAcentral describes it as "bacterial SSU rRNA". It matches the Rfam family "Bacterial small subunit ribosomal RNA", at positions 355 to 774 of the family's 1533-position model. The record is from RNAcentral.